AAUAUUGGUCAAUGGGGGCAACCCUGAUCCAGCCAUGCCGUGUGUGUUAAGAAGGUCANCUGAAUNUNAAGUACUUUACUUUGGGNGAAAGGGCUUUAGGCUAAUACGCUGAAGUUUUCACGUUACCAACAGAAUAAGCACCGGCUAACUUCGUACCAGCAGCUGCUGUAAUACGAAGGGUGCAAGGGUUAAUCGGAAUUACUGGGCGUAAAGGCGGCGUAAGUGGUUUGUUAAGUUUGAAGUGAAAGCCCCGGGGUCCACCCGGGAACUUGUUUUAAAAACGGGCAGGUAGAGUAUGGGCGAGGGUGGUGGAAUUUUCUGUUUAGGGGUGAAAAGGGUAGGUAUAGGAAGGAACACCAGUGGCGAAGGCGACCACCCGGGCUAAUACUGACACUGAAGUGGGAAAGCGUGGGGAGGAAACAG
RNAcentral lists this ribosomal RNA (423 nucleotides) under uncultured bacterium. RNAcentral's name for it is "partial 16S ribosomal RNA". It matches the Rfam family "Bacterial small subunit ribosomal RNA", at positions 360 to 775 of the family's 1533-position model. The record is from RNAcentral.